This 359-nucleotide small RNA is filed under the name Oryza sativa Japonica Group (Japanese rice). RNAcentral describes it as "Os08g0550100". Lineage: Eukaryota; Viridiplantae; Streptophyta; Magnoliopsida; Poales; Poaceae. The record is from RNAcentral.
GAGAAGCGCCGUGAGAGGCUCCAACAGGAGGAGGAGCUGGCAAAACACAUGGCUGAGGAAGAUGACGAUGAUUUUUAGACUGGCUGGCCACUUCUUUGGCACUUUGGGCUGCCAAAUUGCAAUGUUGAGUUGGUUGAUCUGAGAGACCGUAACACACCUAUACAUGCCACUCACAAAUGAUAUUUGAGUCAUGCAAAAACCCUUUGCUUCAUCUGCCGGAAAUUUAUGUCGAUGAGAAAUUUAUGACUCCAAAUGUGUCUAGUUGGAUAACUUACUUUUACCUUCACCUUGUAUCAUGGAUUCGAGAAUUUCUUUUGUACCAUGCGAAAUUCGGCUGCUUCAUUCAUGUAUUGUGGUUC